This 562-nucleotide ribosomal RNA is filed under the name Aspergillus flavus. It matches the Rfam family "Bacterial small subunit ribosomal RNA", at positions 284 to 885 of the family's 1533-position model. Lineage: Eukaryota; Fungi; Ascomycota; Eurotiomycetes; Eurotiales; Aspergillaceae. The record is from RNAcentral.
UAGUCGUGACUGAGAGGUCGAUCGACCACAUUGGGUCUGAAAAAACCCCAAUGCGUAUUAGUACAGCAGUGAGGAAUAUUGGUCAAUGGCCGAAAGGCUGAACCAGUAACUUGGAAGAAUGUAAGUGUAUUAUUGUAAUACAAUAACGAUUAACUCGUAUAAAAUUCUAAAUAGGAUAAUGAUAAUGACAAUUUCCUAUUUAUAAGUCUUGACCAAAUUACGUGCCAGCAGUCGCGGUAAUACGUAGAAGACUAGUGUUAGUCAUCUUUAUUAGGUUUAAAGGGUACCUAGACGGUAAAUUAAACUCUAAAUGAGUACUUUUUUACUAGAGUUUUAUGUGAGAAGGAAGAAUUUCUGGAGUAGGGAUGAAAUACUAUACCAGAAGGACUGGUAACGGCGAAGGCAUCCUUCUAUGUAAAAACUGACGUUGAGGGACGAAGGCUUGGGUAGCAAUAAGGAUUAGAUACCCUAGUAGUCCAAGCAGAAAAUGAUGAAUGUCAUAGGCUAGAUUUAAAAUUUAGUCUAUAAAUGAAAGUGUAAGCAUUCCACCUCAAGAGUAAUA